CUUCCUGUCAGGACAGUCUCAAACAAGCUUGAAAAACCACGGAGAUAGGUGACAAAUAAUACAUUUUGGGAAACAAAAGAUCAGCACCUGGGGCCUUAAGACCAAAGCAGAGCUGUUAUCAACCAUUCAGCCAAGAUCAGAAGAGAGCACUGGCUGCAGUGUCACUGGCAGGCAGGUACACUGCCUCCUGUUCCCUAGGAGGAUGCAGGCUCUCCAAAGGCAGUGCUGUGUCAGGAUGUGCUGGGUUCCCAGAUGUAUGAGCUCUGUGCACAACGAUCAAGCUCCCUCUCAGGACCCCCCGGUCAAUGCCCCACAAGCCUUGGCUCCUUGCACAAGGAUUGUCCUUCAUCUUCUUGGAAGAGCACCUGAAUUAACAGAUAGUGUAUGUACAGCUCUGGGGCUCCCACAAUCUGCAGCCUAAUCCUGGUGCUAUCAGUCCAGUUCUGUUUUAAUAAGCAAUACAUGGAUUUUCCUGUUUUGCUCGUGAUGGUGACUGAUAUUCGUUGCUACAAAAAGCCCCUUUGCAGAGGCUGAACCAGCCUUGGGGGCGACUCCAGGCCCGGCCCCUCGGGUCCCUGCUCACC
Corvus hawaiiensis (hawaiian crow) is the source of this 584-nucleotide long non-coding RNA. RefSeq lists it as uncharacterized. The transcript has 4 exons. The record is from RefSeq and is a predicted model, not a curated record. Lineage: Eukaryota; Metazoa; Chordata; Aves; Passeriformes; Corvidae.